RNAcentral lists this ribosomal RNA (402 nucleotides) under uncultured bacterium. Its description in RNAcentral is "bacterial SSU rRNA". It matches the Rfam family "Bacterial small subunit ribosomal RNA", at positions 355 to 774 of the family's 1533-position model. The record is from RNAcentral.
UGGGGAAUCUUGCACAAUGGGGGCAACCCUGAUGCAGCGACGCCGCGUGAGCGAUGAAGCCCUUCGGGGCGUAAAGCUCUUUCGACCGGAACGAUAAUGACGGUACCGGGAGAAGAAGCUGCGGCUAACUACGUGCCAGCAGCCGCGGUAAUACGUAGGCAGCAAGCGUUGUUCGGAGUUACUGGGCGUAAAGAGUGCGUAGGCGGUUUUCUAAGUUCGGUGUGAAAUCUCCCGGCUUAACUGGGAGGGUGCGCCGAAGACUGGGAAGCUGGAGUGGGGGAAAGGCAGGCGGAAUUCCUGGUGGAGCGGUGAAAUGCGUAGAUAUCAGGAGGAACCCCGGCGGUGUAGACGGCUUGCUAGACCAUAACUGACGCUGAGGCACGAAAGCGUGGGUAGCAAACA